GCGUCGGUGAUGCAGCGAUUAGCACACGCUUCCGGAAAGAGUGAGAUGUGGGUUCGAAUCCCGGCUGACGCA
Molecule: non-coding RNA, 72 nt
Organism: Parelaphostrongylus tenuis
Lineage: Eukaryota; Metazoa; Nematoda; Chromadorea; Rhabditida; Metastrongylidae
Source: the annotation of a GenBank genome assembly